AUGCUUUACGGCUUAGAAUCGGGACUUCAAAGACGUUUUGAACGUCAUGGAGCAUAUGAGAUGUUCCAAGAGUUGAAGUUAAUAUUUCAAACAAAUGCCCGAGUUGAGAGAUAUGAAGUCUCCAAUAAGUUCUAUAGCUGCAAGAUGGAGGAGAAUAGUUCUAUCAGUGAACACAUACUCAGAAUGUCUGGGUACCAUAAGCACUUGACUCAGCUGGGAGUUAAUAUUCGUGAUGAUAGUGUCAUUGACAUAGUUCUUCAAUCACUUCCACCAAGCUAUGAAGGCUCUAUAAUAUGCAAGGGAUGGAAAAGACAAUUCCCGAGCUCUUCGCAAUGCUAA
Molecule: ribosomal RNA, 339 nt
Filed under: Triticum aestivum (bread wheat)
Lineage: Eukaryota; Viridiplantae; Streptophyta; Magnoliopsida; Poales; Poaceae
Description: partial small subunit ribosomal RNA
Source: RNAcentral